This 253-nucleotide ribosomal RNA is filed under the name uncultured bacterium. Its description in RNAcentral is "partial 16S ribosomal RNA". It matches the Rfam family "Bacterial small subunit ribosomal RNA", at positions 524 to 776 of the family's 1533-position model. The record is from RNAcentral.
UACAGAGGGUGCGAGCGUUGUCCGGAAUCACUGGGCGUAAAGGGCGCGUAGGUGGCCCGACCAGUCACUGGUGAAAGCUCGACGCUCAACGUCGAGUCGGCCAGUGAUACUGUUGGGCUGGAGCACUGUAGAGGCAGAUGGAAUUCCGGGAGUAGCGGUGGAAUGCGUAGAGAUCCGGAAGAACACCGGUGGCGAAGGCGGUCUGCUGGGCAGUAGCUGACACUGAGGCGCGACAGCGUGGGGAGCAAACAGG